GACGAACGCUGGCGGCGUGCCUAAUACAUGCAAGUAGAACGCUGAAGGAGGAGCUUGCUCUUCUGGAUGAGUUGCGAACGGGUGAGUAACGCGUAGGUAACCUGCCUGGUAGCGGGGGAUAACUAUUGGAAACGAUAGCUAAUACCGCAUAAGAGUAGAUGUUGCAUGACAUUUACUUAAAAGGUGCAAUUGCAUCACUACCAGAUGGACCUGCGUUGUAUUAGCUAGUUGGUGGGGUAACGGCUUACCAAGGCGACGAUACAUAGCCGACCUGAGAGGGUGAUCGGCCACACUGGGACUGAGACACGGCCCAGACUCCUACGGGAGGCAGCAGUAGGGAAUCUUCGGCAAUGGACGGAAGUCUGACCGAGCAACGCCGCGUGGGUGAAGAAGGGUUUCGGAUCGUAAAGCUCUGUUGUAAGAGAAGAACGAGUGUGAGAGUGGAAAGUUCACACUGUGACGGUAUCUUACCAGAAAGGGACGGCUAACUACGUG
RNAcentral lists this ribosomal RNA (495 nucleotides) under uncultured bacterium. Its description in RNAcentral is "partial 16S ribosomal RNA". It matches the Rfam family "Bacterial small subunit ribosomal RNA", at positions 28 to 507 of the family's 1533-position model. The record is from RNAcentral.